RNAcentral lists this ribosomal RNA (4234 nucleotides) under Triticum aestivum (bread wheat). RNAcentral describes it as "partial small subunit ribosomal RNA". Lineage: Eukaryota; Viridiplantae; Streptophyta; Magnoliopsida; Poales; Poaceae. The record is from RNAcentral.
CGGAAAGGAGGGAAAAGUAAAGCAGGAGAGACAAACCUAUUCCGACGCCCCCUCGAGCUCGCCGCCUCGUCCUCCGCUAAGAGGGGCAGGUACCGCUAAAGCUCUGGAAGAGGGUGAGCUCGAACUAAAGAGAGGGGAAGGGGAAGCGAGGGGCCACAGCGCCAACCAACAAGGAGAGAGAGAGAGAGAGGGGCAGCGCGCGAACACAACAAGACGAGAACAAGCAGGGUCUAGAUCCAGUCAAGUACAGCGGGAGAGCGCGUACACCACGUCGGCGAUCUAACGAUCCGAAGACCAACAACACCAGCAGGGCGCGCGCGACGACAAACAUGACAACAUCAAACAUCUACGUCGCCGAAACAGGGGGAAAACAGACACCUCUACAUCGACAAGUACAUCUACUCUCCCGCUAGACAUCUACAAGGACAUCCACGAGCACAAGGACAUCUGCGCUCCCUAAGACAUCUACAAAGACAUCUACAAGGACAUCCACGAGUACAAGGACAUCCACUCUCCCGCUAGACAUCCACGAGUACAUGAACAUCGACGAGUACAAGGACAUCGACUACCCCUAAGACAUCUACAUCGAACCGCCUACAGACAUCAACAUCGUACGCCCUACAACAUCUACAUGACCAUCUACAGAUCGAGCAAGGACGAGCACAGCCCUACGAGGGACUACGAAGACGCACAAAAGGACGAGAACGGGGACGAGUACAUGACCAUCUACGAUCCACGAGCACAGUUCGAGAAAAAAACAUAAGUUUACUUAAUCCGAGGACUAAACAACAACCUCCACAUCAAGAGGAAACAUGGCACAAACAAAAAGAAGAUCGUCCUUACUUAAAAUUCAAAUUAAAGACACAUGAAAACCGAGCCGGGAAAAGUCACAACAGUUAACAAACUAGUCUAGAAAAGUCACAGCAGUGUCUGAAGGUCACAUUAUAGUCAAAACAUCAGAAUGUCCCCAUUAAAGAGGGUCAAACAUAUCACAUUAAUUGGGACUUAAAGAUCCCACUAAAAAUAACAUUAACGUCACAUCAAAAUACACAUUAAAAGGGUCUAAAAGUAACAUUGAAAUACAGUCAAAAUGACACAUUAAGUAGAGUCUAAAUGUCUGAAAUUCACAUAAAAUCGGCAAAAUUAAGGUGACACUAAAAUAGAGUAAACAACGUAACAUUACAUUAAACAGAGUCAGAACGUCGUAUUGGACAGGGUCUAAAAUACACAUUAAACUCACCUAAAAGAGUGUCACAUCAAGUAGGGUCGUAAAGCAUGAAAAUUCACAUUAUAUGAAUAAAUUAAGGUCACAUUAAAACCACCUAAAAUAUCACAUCAAGUAGGAUUGAAAUGUCACGUAACAUGGGUAAAUUAAGGUCAUAUUAAAAUCACCUAAAAGGUCACAUUAAACAAACAUCAAAGUCACAUUGAAUAAGAUUGAAAUGUCGGGUAAAUUAAAGUCAAAUUAAAAUCACCUAAAAUGUCACAUUAAACUAAACAUCAAAGUCACAUUAAAUAAAAUUGAAAUGUCACGUCACAUGGGUAAAAUUAAGGUGACAUUAAAAUCACCUAAAAGGUCACAUUAAACUAACAUCAAAGUCACAUUGAAUAAGAUUGAAAUGUCACGUUACAUGGGUAAAUUAAGGUCACAUUAAAAUCACCUAAAAUGUCACAUUAAACUAAACAUCAAAGUUACAUUAAAUAAAAUUGAAAUGUCACGUCACAUGGGAAAAAUUAAGGUCACAUUAAAUUCAGCUAAAAAGUCACAUUAAACUAACAUCAAAGUCGCAUUAAAUAAGAUUGAAAUGUCACGUCACAUGGGUAAAUUAAGGUUACCUAAAAAAUCACAUUAAACUAACAUCAAAGUCACAUUAAAUAAAAUUGAAAUGUCACGUCACAUGGGUAAAAUUAAGGUCACAUUAAACUCACCUAAAAAGUCACAUUAAACUAACAUCAGAGUCACAUUAAAAUACAAGGUAAAUGUCCAAAUUUACCCAUCCGAUGCCUUUCACAGAGUAGUCCUACAAGGUAAUCAUAGUAGAAAUCUCUCACGUCUAAGUGACCUACUUCGAAAACACGGAUUACUAAAACGUCUUCUACCAAGAGUAGGACACAGAGGCCUAGAUAGAGCUCUACUUCCUCUCAAGCUGUUCCGAGAAAACUUCAAGAUAGAGUUAGUUUUUCAUUUUACGAAUUUCUCCUUUGAUAGUAGACGAAGAUCCUCCUUACACUCCGUCUUUUCUAGAUGACUAAAGGGGUGAACACGGUGAAAGUGAUCUAUAAGACCCUUCAAGAAGAGACCACAACAACGACCUUACACAGGAUCCAUAGUCUUACAGUAGGUCUGUAUGCCGUACCCGACAGAGAAUUUGAAACAAUCCUGGCUCCAAGGGGAAUCCGAUCACUUCACCGAACGAUCAUCCAAACUACAGGGAAGUAGACUUAAGGUCAAGCUUUCCUUUAAAUAGGGUUACUGGUUCAUACUAUAGGUACUAUAGGAACUGGAGGGUCAUCUACCACUCGGUGAACACAGACUAGGACUCAGACCUGCACUAAAAUAGGACAGAGUGAAGUUACAAAGAUCAUAAGGAGGACAGAGAAAGAAGCGGUCGUUCGAAUUUAGGUGGCUUCAGCUCAACAGACUACUUCUGUAAAAGUAAACGAAGUACUAACAACGCAACAGGAGUAAGGAAACAGGGUUGAGAUCGGAGUCAGGAUCGGGCUUCAUGGACGUAUAAAAGUCCCUAACAAGAAGACACACGUUGAUACUAGACAGGCCUAUACAAAUACUCACCAACAACUCGUCGUAGUUUUUCAAGUUCUUAAGGUGAUUUCAACGAAGAUUUUCUAGUCGCUGCAGACCACCAACAGUGAUACGAAAACGACAAACAAUGGAACUGGUUGAAUUAAAGCCAGAGGUAAGACAGGGACUACAGUUCGGGGCCUAAGAUCGUACCUCUCCAUUGUUUCAAUUCGUUAAAAGUCUCGAACUGUCUUUGUUAUCGGCGAGAAUACCGUUCUCCGGAGAUUUCGCCAACAAACGAGAUCAAUUAGGCGUCUUCAGAUAGCUCUUUAGAAGUCGUUCGUUUCUACCACUACAAGGGGAAACGUCACUGUACGAAAAACUUUACUUACACGUCUUUAGGAAGCCACGAGCAAAACCCAAACUCCGACGAGUUCAUCAGUAUUUGGAACAAGUUAGAUCCUUGUUUCUGUUCGGGUUCGAUAAACUGUAAGAUCUUACGAAUAGUGAGAGAUGAGAUUUACGGUUUAGACAGGGCUGUGGAUUUCAAAUAAGUUCACUCCCAGUAAGAGAGUUGUUCAAGAGAAAACCGCGGUUCAGACAGAGAUAAGUUAGAAAGUAACUACUCUCCUUCACACUCUGAUAACAACUCUUUAGUAGAGGACUUCAGGUCGUCGUUUAGGGGUUAAACUUACUUCGAAGAGGAAAACAAAGACCACAACAAUCACAACCCCCAAAAGUGUUGGGUCAUCAAAAUAGAUCAAGUAGAGGUCGAGGAUUUCACACACUACUCCCGCACCGUUUACUCCGUUUACAACUUCGACGUUAAGGUCACCGCCUAAAUAGAAGAUAUUUUUCAGGAAGAGUAAGAUAUCCAUAUAGGGGAAGUUGCUGCGCCACACGUUAAGAACAACAACCAAAAUGAAACCUCGGGAGUCGACCAGAAUAAUUCUUUACGCUUGGGUUCCGGCUACUAUUACCAAAAGUUUCUGGGUGAAAACGAGUCAAUUUAGCGUGAGAACCACAAGUUAGAUUACCGCUACAAUGGUUACCACUCGGGUUACAAUUUCUCCAGCUAUUAAGAAAACCUCUUGGCAGGGGAGACCAAGGAUAAGCGAACAGCGUCGCAAAGGUAUUACGCCAACGUUCAACAAACACCAGGGACUACUGCUCCCCCAAACAAACAGGUCCAGCUUGCCCGUUCUACAAAUGGACUGGGCAAAUCUCCAAGCAAAAAACGAAAGACCACUAAAAGGACGAUCAUGUCCACAUUAGACAACUAACCUGUCUUUUAAACUGACAAAAACUUAACUUUUUGUCAGUCUACAGUUAAUCUGUCCCUCUAUAUAUAUUAGAAUGCAGAUGAUGUUCAAAUUUUGCCUUAGGUAGCUCUUAAAUGCACGGUAUGCCAUCCAUUGGGACUUGGGGUAUAUCAGAAUGUAGAAGCGCGAGCGGGACUUGGGGUAUAAGUCUCGUGGGAAUGUAGUACGC